GUGUCAGCAGCCGCGGUAAUACGGAGGAUGCAAGCGUUAUCCGGAAUGAUUGGGCGUAAAGCGUCCGCAGGUGGCUAUGUAAGUCUGCUGUUAAAGAGCAAGGCUCAACCUUGUAAAGGCAGUGGAAACUACAUGGCUAGAGUGCGUUCGGGGCAGAGGGAAUUCCUGGUGUAGCGGUGAAAUGCGUAGAGAUCGGAAAGAACACCAACGGCGAAAGCACUCUGCUGGGCCGACACUGACACUGAGAGACGAAAGCUAGGGGAGCGAAUGGGAUUAGAUACCCCAGUAGUCCUAGCCGUAAACGAUGGAUACUAGGCGUGGCUUGUAUCGACCCGAGCCGUGCCGUAGCUAACGCGUUAAGUAUCCCGCCUGGGGAGUACGCACGCAAGUGUGAAACUCAAAGGAAUUGACGG
RNAcentral lists this ribosomal RNA (413 nucleotides) under uncultured bacterium. RNAcentral describes it as "bacterial SSU rRNA". It matches the Rfam family "Bacterial small subunit ribosomal RNA", at positions 505 to 916 of the family's 1533-position model. The record is from RNAcentral.